This 407-nucleotide unclassified non-coding RNA is filed under the name Hevea brasiliensis (rubber tree). The record is from RNAcentral. Lineage: Eukaryota; Viridiplantae; Streptophyta; Magnoliopsida; Malpighiales; Euphorbiaceae.
GUAAGACUGGAGGCUACAUUGAAGGUGAUGUAAGAAUAUCCGGAUUUCCAAAGAAUCAAGAAACAUUUGCCAGAGUUUCAGGAUAUUGUGAACAAACUGAUAUACACUCACCUCAAGUAACUAUCCACGAAUCUUUGUUAUUUUCGGCUUUCCUCCGGCUCCCAAAAGAAGUCAGAAAAGAAGAUAAGAUGGUUUUUGUGGAUGAAGUAAUGGAUCUGGUUGAGCUAGACAAUCUCAAGGAUGCAAUUGUAGGGCUACCAGGAGUUACUGGUUUGUCAACAGAACAAAGGAAAAGAUUGACUAUUGCAGUAGAGCUUGUUGCAAAUCCUUCAAUUAUUUUUAUGGAUGAACCGACUUCUGGUCUUGAUGCAAGAGCAGCAGCUAUUGUUAUGAGAACUGUGAGAAAC